RNAcentral lists this ribosomal RNA (407 nucleotides) under uncultured bacterium. Its description in RNAcentral is "bacterial SSU rRNA". It matches the Rfam family "Bacterial small subunit ribosomal RNA", at positions 355 to 776 of the family's 1533-position model. The record is from RNAcentral.
UUAGGAAUAUUGGGCAAUGGAGGAAACUCUGACCCAGCAACGCCGCGUGAAGGAUGAAGGUCUUCGGAUUGUAAACUUCUGUUCUAAGGGACGAAACAAAUGACUGUACCUUAGAAGAAAGCCCCGGCAAACUACGUGCCAGCAGCCGCGGUGAUACGUAGGGGGCAAGCGUUGUCCGGAAUGACUGGGCGUAAAGGGAGUGUAGGCGGUUUUUUAAGUUAAAUGUGAAAUCCUGGGGCUUAACUCCAGAACUGCAUUUAAUACUGGAAGACUUGAGUGUGGGAGAGGUAAGUGGAAUUCCUAGUGUAGCGGUGGAAUGCAUAGAUAUUAGGAGGAACAUCAGUGGCGAAGGCGACUUACUGGAACAUAACUGACGCUGAGGCUCGAAAGCGUGGGGAGCAAACAGG